GAGGGCAUAGCUCAGUGGUAGAGUGCAUGCUUAGCAUGCAUGAGGUCCUAGGUUCAAUCCCCAGUACCUCUG
This 72-nucleotide transfer RNA is filed under the name Camelus bactrianus (Bactrian camel). It matches the Rfam family "tRNA". From Rfam's summary of the family: Transfer RNA (tRNA) molecules are approximately 80 nucleotides in length. Their secondary structure includes four short double-helical elements and three loops (D, anti-codon, and T loops). The record is from Rfam by way of RNAcentral. Lineage: Eukaryota; Metazoa; Chordata; Mammalia; Artiodactyla; Camelidae. RNAcentral also lists the same sequence under 3 other names.